Molecule: ribosomal RNA, 465 nt
Filed under: uncultured bacterium
Lineage: Bacteria
Description: partial 16S ribosomal RNA
Rfam family: Bacterial small subunit ribosomal RNA
Source: RNAcentral
GACGAACGCUGGCGGCGUGCUUAACACAUGCAAGUCGAACGGAAAGGCCCUGCUUGCAGGGUACUCGAGUGGCGAACGGGCGAGUAACACGUGGGUGAUCUGCCCUGCACUUCGGGAUAAGCCUGGGAAACUGGGUCUAAUACCGGAUAGGAGCCAUUUUUAGUGUGAUGGUUGGAAAGUUUUUUCGGUGUAGGAUGAGCUCGCGGCCUAUCAGCUUGUUGGUGGGGUAAUGGCCUACCAAGGCGGCGACGGGUAGCCGGCCUGAGAGGGUGGACGGCCACAUUGGGACUGAGAUACGGCCCAGACUCCUACGGGAGGCAGCAGUGGGGAAUAUUGCACAAUGGGCGCAAGCCUGAUGCAGCGACGCCGCGUGGGGGAUGACGGCCUUCGGGUUGUAAACUCCUUUCGCUAGGGACGAAGCUUUUUGUGACGGUACCUAGAGAAGAAGCACCGGUUAACUACGUG